This 775-nucleotide long non-coding RNA is filed under the name Homo sapiens (human). RNAcentral describes it as "HSALNT0397533". The record is from RNAcentral. Lineage: Eukaryota; Metazoa; Chordata; Mammalia; Primates; Hominidae.
CAGACUGCUGUGCUAGCAAUCAGCGAGACUCCGUGGGCGUAGGACCCUCCGAGCCAGGUGCGGGAUAUAUUCUCGUGGUGCGCCGUUUUUUAAGCCCGUCGGAAAGGCGCAGUAUUUGGGUAGGAGUGACCCGAUUUUCCAGUGAGAUGAACCCGGUACCUCAGCUGGAAAUGCAGAAAUCACCCGUCUUCUGCGUCGCUCACGCUGGGAGCUGUAGACUGGAGCUGUAGACAGGAGCUGUUCCUAUUCGGGCAUCUUGGCUCCUCCUUGAAAACAAGCCCUGGAAAAACAAAGAAUGGAACACCCCUCCGCUGACUUCAACCAACUGCCUGCUGAUGCGGCCUGACUCCCAGCCCUUUUUGCAGUUUUGAAGUGACAAACUGACUAGGCUACAAAGUAUUCAACCAUGGGCUGGUUCUGGCUGGUUCACCGAGGCUGUGUACAAAGUGUCUUCAUGUCCUGUGUUUCACCUUUUAACAUACAGAACCUAAUUUUACUGCAUUUUAAUGUUAAUUCUCCACUCGAAGGUGAACAUGGGAUGUAUGUAACACAUAUGUUUGCUUAUCAAGCACACAUAUGACCCCCUUUCAUGAAUAUUCAUAGUUCCCCCUGUGACCUGUUGAAUAUGUCUGUUUAGCCAACCUGUUUGGCAUAAAACUCCUAUCCCACCCUAUCUCCCUCAAAGUACCUGUUUGUGGUCUCAGCUGGAGGUGCCACUUCCCAGCCUGCAGUUUGCAACCCUUCUCAAGAAAUAAAGUCUUCCUUUCCAAGUUUA